AAAUGUUUGUCUCUCCUCUCCUCUGGAUUGUGUUACUCUGUGGGACCCGGCUGUGGGUUCUGUGUGCCUGUGCAUCAUAUACAGCAAGACGCAGAGGCAAGGCCAGCUGGCUAGGCUUCUCCUAUCUAACUGCUUGUUGUCAUGUUUCCUCAAGCAACUGUCUUUGGGGAAACCAUUAAUGUUAAGUUCUCUGGGGAAAUGGAGAGGAAUCAGUUCCUCCCACCAGCUAUGGGAUAGACUUCCCAUGCCAGGAGGCAAGUCCAUACUUGGCAAAUCCACUAGCCUUAUUUCUCAACAUUCAUGAUUCUGACAGUUACCUAUUUUUAUUUCCUUUACUAGGUUUUGGGUGCUCUUUUGGUCCUACUGGGUUCUCCAGGGAGCAAAUCUCUUUAGGAUACUUACAUAUCUUUAUUAUCUGAUCUUUUUAAUCAAGAAGAGGUGACUCAUUCAGGGCAGUCUUGCUGCAAGAGUAGAGCGACUAUUAAAAGAAGAGGAGGGAUAUUGGAACUGAAGUUUUGAUGAUGAAGUUGGAUUGAGAGAGAGGCCACUAAUAGGUUAAGGAACUGAAUCUACAAUGUGGACUAAACACUGGCCGACUCCUGCCCCUGUGGAGCUUCCAUUCUAGUGGAGAGACGAGCAUAUUGAAAUAAUCACACGAACAUAAAACGGCGACCAUGAAAAGUGGUAUGGAAGGGAGGCCUUUGGGGACUCUGACAAGAGCAGUUUUCCAGUGCUCUCUAUAGAGCUGUGUGUAGAGCUGUAUUCCAGGUUUUGUGCCAAGACUGUCACAUGUACUAACUCACAUGACCCCCUACAUCAACCGUGUGAUGCAGGCACGAGUAUUCAGGCCAGUUUUGCAUGAAGAAGGAAGUUGACUCUUAGAUGUGCAAAAGUUGCAUAGAGAAUAAGUCAUGAAGUUUUGAACCUUCCAAGCUCUCUUCGGAUCCUGAGCUUCUAACUACCACCCAAGAACACGUGAGAUGGAAACUUGAGCAUGUUACUUGUGCCCUGAGUCUGUAAAAUGCUGAUGUUAAUGAAGUACAAAUGAGGUCUGUGAUUGUCAAGCCUCAACUUGCGCCAGAACUGCCUGGGAAGCUUUCUAAAACUGCAGAUAAAAUUUCAGUCAUUGUAGGAUGGGUCCUGCACGUCAGCAUUUUAAAAUGCUUUCCAGGUGAUUCUGAUGUGUAGCCAGGGUUGAAAACCACUGCUUCAGAUCAGCUCUGAGCUAAGAUUUGCUGCCAAUUCUUCUCUUUUUGCUGAGGAAGAUCGGCCCUGAGCUAACAUCCGUGCCCAUCUUCCUCUACUUUAUAUGUGGGACACCUGCCACAGCAUGGCUUGAUGAGCAGUGCCAUGUCUGCACCUUGGAUCUGAACCAGUGGACCCCAGUCCGUGAAAGCGGAACAUGUGCACUUAACCACUGGGCCACCGGGCUGGCCCCUUGUACAAUUUUUUUAUGAACACUGCCUCCGCCAGCCAGAUGGCCACUUCCCAUAUAGCCUCCUUUGUUGUUCAAAGUCACAGCCUUUGAUCAAAGGGAACUUGGAGUAUAAGUCUUUCACUUUUUUUAAAGACUGAGCUCUUAAAAGACAUGGAAGGUAUAUUACCAGGUCUUUUUCUGGCUGUUCAGUUCCAUAUGAAUCAGCAGAAGUGAGUAGUGGUCCGUGAAACUGAUGCAUCUUGGCAGGCUUUGCAUUGCAUCUUGCACACACUCCAGGAAGAAGACUCACCUUGUGAAUGACCACAUCAGGCCCACAGAUCUGCCUUUUACACACCACAGUGGGAAGACACACUGGGCACCCUUCUGUCUUAGAUGUGUCACAGCGCACCUCAAACCUGCUGGUGACUGUGAGUCCUUAUUGUUCCAUGGAACAUAGGUGUGGUUUCUUUUUUCAGAAUAAAUCAAGCACUUGAUGAAACUCCAUGAACUUUUAUGAUGAUGAUAGUGACAAUAACAACAAAAUUAUAUUGCGUGCUUAAUCCUUCAUAUACCAGGAAUAGUUCUCAACAUUUACCAUUUGAAUCUAAGGAAUCCAUUUUAUGUUUUUAUAUUUUUAAAUCAUCUUAUGAGUAAUUUACAGAAGCAAAAUCAGAGACAUUGUGAAAAACAACUUUAUUAGAAAUUUUAAUAAAAAUGUAAACAUAGGAAAACCAAAUUUUUUAUUCUGUGUUUUCCUGGUUUUGUAGGUAUAUAUAUGUAAGAUGGGAAACUUCCUUUGAAUGCCAUUAACUCAUCAACUGUCAUGUAUGAUUCUGGAACACAUCUAUCUUGUGAAUACUGAUUCCAGAUUUCAAAUACAUCUCUAAAAGGUUUAGCUUAUCAUUACUUCUGAUUUUAUCUUCUUGCACUUAAAAAUAUAAUACUUUUGAAAAUUCUGAUGUCUCAUAAUUUUGUUUGAGAAGACAGCCAUCUUUGUUCCAUAAUUGCAAAACAUUUCAGAUUUAUAAACAUCAGUUAGCGUGACCAAUUCAGUAGAAGUUUCAUUUUUUACAUUAACUAUUUUCUUCCAUCUACCUUUUCAUACAUACCUGC
Molecule: long non-coding RNA, 2530 nt
Organism: Equus caballus (horse)
Lineage: Eukaryota; Metazoa; Chordata; Mammalia; Perissodactyla; Equidae
Source: Ensembl